UACGUAGGGUGCAAGCGUUAAUCGGAAUUACUGGGCGUAAAGCGUGCGCAGGCGGCGAUGUAAGACAGAUGUGAAAUCCCCGGGCUCAACCUGGGAACUGCAUUUGUGACUGCAUCGCUGGAGUGCGGCAGAGGGGGAUGGAAUUCCGCGUGUAGCAGUGAAAUGCGUAGAUAUGCGGAGGAACACCGAUGGCGAAGGCAAGCCCCUGGGCCUGCACUGACGCUCAUGCACGAAAGCGUGGGGAGCAAACAGG
Molecule: ribosomal RNA, 253 nt
Filed under: uncultured bacterium
Lineage: Bacteria
Description: partial 16S ribosomal RNA
Rfam family: Bacterial small subunit ribosomal RNA
Source: RNAcentral